ACCCGUUGCUGGGGACGUCGAAGGCCCGGGCGGACUGGUACCCCGACGUCGUGCGUUCGCGCCGACGAAGGGGGAAACCUCCGGUGUCCUGGCAGCCCUGCGACGGUCGAGCAGCAGAGGGGCAACAGUCCUCCCUCUCGCGGCGUGCAAAAGGUCGGUGACCCACCCGACCCGUCUUGAAACACGGACCAAGGAGUCUAACAUGUGUGCGAGUCAUUGGGCGCACUAAACCCAGAGGCGUAAUGAAAGUGAAAGGGGGGCGUCCCGGGGUCUUCGGGCCUCGGUCGGCGCCCUCCGGGGCCGAUCCCCGACCGCCUGUUGCCGUCUCUGUUGCCCAUUCCAAAGCGAGGUCAAGGGGGUGCGCGGGGUGAGUCCCUUUCCCCCGCGCUACCCCGGCUUCGUGGGUUCAGGGCGCGCGCGACGGUCCGGCUCCUUCACGGGAGUCGCUUGUACGCAGGGGGGCGCAGGCCCGGGACUUGCCAUUCGACGCCGUCGCGCAAAUCUGUUGUUGGCCUCGCCGGCUUUGCUUGGGCUCUCGGUUGGCGUGCCGCGCGUCAGGCGGGCUUUGGGUGGGGGUUUCGGCUCUCACUCGGGUUCGUCCCGCGCGGUUUUGCCUUCCG
This 620-nucleotide ribosomal RNA is filed under the name Parasesarma sanguimanus. Its description in RNAcentral is "partial large subunit ribosomal RNA". The record is from RNAcentral. RNAcentral also lists the same sequence under 3 other names. Lineage: Eukaryota; Metazoa; Arthropoda; Malacostraca; Decapoda; Sesarmidae.